RNAcentral lists this ribosomal RNA (345 nucleotides) under uncultured eukaryote. Its description in RNAcentral is "SSU rRNA". It matches the Rfam family "Eukaryotic small subunit ribosomal RNA", at positions 20 to 370 of the family's 1831-position model. The record is from RNAcentral.
GUAGUCAUAUGCUUGUCUCAAAGAUUAAGCCAUGCAUGUCUAAGUAUAAACAAAUUCAUACUGUGAAACUGCGAAUGGCUCAUUAAAUCAGUUAUAGUUUAUUUGAUGGUAUCUUGCUACAUGGAUAACUGUGGUAAUUCUAGAGCUAAUACAUGCUGAAAAGCCCCGACUUCUGGAAGGGGUGUAUUUAUUAGAUAAAAACCAUUCUCCUCGGAGUUUGGUGAUUCAUAAUAACUUCUCGAAUCGCACGGCCUUGUGCUGGCGAUGCUUCAUUCAAAUAUCUGCCCUAUCAACUGUCGAUGGUAGGAUAGAGGCCUACCAUGGUUGCAACGGGUAACGGGGAAU